UAAACACAAGAAGUUCUUUCAAGGGUGCAAAAGAUAUUCCCUUAUCUAUUGUGGUUAUAUCUGACAGAGAAUGGCUCUUUGGAGAUUCUUCCAGGGCAGACAAGAAUGCAGCAUACACGCUUCUUCUUGCUGAAAUGGUUUGCAACAAACACGGUAUUAAGGUUGAGAACUUGGUUGCCGAAAUUGUUGACACAACUCUGGG
Molecule: unclassified non-coding RNA, 202 nt
Filed under: Hevea brasiliensis (rubber tree)
Lineage: Eukaryota; Viridiplantae; Streptophyta; Magnoliopsida; Malpighiales; Euphorbiaceae
Source: RNAcentral